RNAcentral lists this long non-coding RNA (240 nucleotides) under Capsicum annuum. RNAcentral's name for it is "long non-coding RNA (CANN_LNC017606)". The record is from RNAcentral. Lineage: Eukaryota; Viridiplantae; Streptophyta; Magnoliopsida; Solanales; Solanaceae.
GUUAGUCUUUGUCGCACUCUUCUUCUUCUACUUUCCAAACUGAAACAUUUUUUUUUCAAUUCAUAGGCUUCUCUCUUCCCCAUUUUCAACACGAAUCGACGAUCCCUACCACUUAAUUUUUUAUCAUCGCUAUCAAUUUUCAACUAUAAAUAGUUAAUCAAACGGGUCUCCACUAUAUAUAUUGUUUUUAUUUUGAGUUCGUUUUUCUUGAUUUGGGUAUGUUUUGUUAUGUGUUUUUCA